UUCGCAAUGCCCGAAAGGGUGACGAAGCGACGCCGCGUGUGGGAAGAAGGCCUUCGGGUUGUAAACCACUGUUGGGAGUUAGGAAGUGUGGGGGGUUAAUAGCGCCUUCACUUGACUAAAGCUCCAGAGGAAGCCACGGCUAACUCUGUGCCAGCAGCCGCGGUAAUACGGAGUGUGCGAGCGUUACUCGGAAUCACUGGGCAUAAAGCGCACGUAGGCGGGGAUACAUGUCCGUGGUGAAAUCCCCCAGCUCAACUGGGGAACUGCUUCGGAAACUGUGUCUCUUGAGGACGAGAAGGGAGAGUGGAACUUCUGGUGGAGCGGUGAAAUGCGUAGAUAUCAGAAGGAACACCGGUGGCGAAAACGACUCUCUGGCUCGUUUCUGACGCUAGGUGCGAAAGCUUGGGUAGCAAACAGGAUUAGAUACCCUGGUAGUCCAAGCUGUAAACGAUGGGCACUAAGUAGAGGGGUUUU
RNAcentral lists this ribosomal RNA (474 nucleotides) under uncultured bacterium. Its description in RNAcentral is "bacterial SSU rRNA". It matches the Rfam family "Bacterial small subunit ribosomal RNA", at positions 365 to 832 of the family's 1533-position model. The record is from RNAcentral.